UUGGUCUGUCAAAUGAAGAGCUUACUUUUUCUACUGAUGAUGAAGAGUUACCUCAUUUAGACUCGCUUGAUGAAGUGAAUGUACACAGGGAAGCACAGACAGUAAUUACAUCAGGUUGUUGUUUCACUUCUUACCAGCAGCUGUGGGCAUUUUAUUGUGGACUGUAUGAAAAACAUUGAAGUUAAACACCUAUUUGUAAGUUACCUCUUAAGUUUUUAAUGUGUAUCAAGCUUAG
Long non-coding RNA from Mercenaria mercenaria, 235 nucleotides. RefSeq lists it as uncharacterized. The record is from RefSeq and is a predicted model, not a curated record. The transcript has 3 exons. Lineage: Eukaryota; Metazoa; Mollusca; Bivalvia; Venerida; Veneridae.